GCAUAUCAAUAAGCGGAGGAAAAGAAACCACAGGGAUUGCCCUAGUAACGGCGAGUGAAGCGGCAACAGCUCGAAUUUGAAAUCUGGCCUCGGCCCGAGUUGUAAUCUGUAGAGGACGCUUUUGGCGCGGUGCCUUCCGAGUUUCCCUGGAACGGGACGCCACAGAGGGUGAGAGCCCCGUAAGGUCGGACACCAAGCCUGUGUAAAGCCCCUUCGACGAGUCGAGUAGCUUGGGAAUGCUGCUCUAAGCGGGAGGUAUACUUCUUCUAAAGCUAAAUAUUGGCCAGAGACCGAUAGCGCACAAGUAGAGUGAUCGAAAGAUGAAAAGCACUUUGAAAAGAGGGUCAAAUAGUACGUGAAAUUGUUGAAAGGGAAGCGCUUGUGAUCAGACUCGCGCCGGGCGGAUCAUCCAGUGGUCUCCACUGGUGCACUCCGGCCGGCGCGGGCCAGCGUCGGCUGUUGCGGGGGGACAAAAGCUCUGGGAACGUAGCUCUCUCCGGGGAGUGUUAUAGCCCUCUGCAGAAUACCCCCGCGGCGGCCGAGGUCCGCGCAUUGCAAGGACGCUGGCGUAAUGGUCAUCAGCGACCCGUCUUGAAACACGGACCAAGGAGUCGAGGUUUUGCGCGAGUGUUCGGGUGCAAAGCCCCAACGCGUAAUUAACGUGAACGUAGGUGAGAGCUUCGGCGCAUCAUCGACCGAUCCUGAUGUAUUCGGAUGGAUUUGAGUAGGAGCGUAAAGCCUCGGACCCGAAAGAUGGUGAACUAUGCCUGUAUAGGGUGAAGCCAGAGGGAAACUCUGGUGGAGGCUCGCAGCGGUUCUGACGUGCAAAUCGAUCGUCAAAUAUGGGCAUGGGGGCGAAAGACUAAUCGAAUCAUCUAGUAGCUGGGUUACCGCG
RNAcentral lists this ribosomal RNA (895 nucleotides) under Phialemonium atrogriseum. RNAcentral describes it as "LSU rRNA". It matches the Rfam family "Eukaryotic large subunit ribosomal RNA", at positions 38 to 963 of the family's 3401-position model. Lineage: Eukaryota; Fungi; Ascomycota; Sordariomycetes; Cephalothecales; Cephalothecaceae. The record is from RNAcentral.